Nicotiana attenuata is the source of this 2128-nucleotide long non-coding RNA. RefSeq lists it as uncharacterized. The transcript is spliced from 4 exons. The record is from RefSeq and is a predicted model, not a curated record. NCBI's taxonomy places the organism in Eukaryota, Viridiplantae, Streptophyta, Magnoliopsida, Solanales, Solanaceae.
GACAUUUCAUUCUAUCACAAAAAAAUGUAAAUCGCUCCAUUCCCCAGACACGAAUUCACAGUGGUUCAGUUCUUUCAAGAAUUCUUGGCUCUCUUCAUCUUCUUAUCCAUCUCCUACAAUUUCAGGUUCUUCCAAAAAAAAAUCCGUAACAGUGCCAAUGUACCCUUCCUGGAAUCCACUCCAUUUUUUGUUUGAUUUUAGAUGUUCUACAACAUGCUUCUCUAUCAUUCAUGAAUUCAAGAGAUUUCACAAUGUUGGACAUAAUCCGAAGACCUAAGAAAACAGAAGCAAGAGCUGGAAAAGUUGAUGCAAGAUCAAAAGACAUUUACAAGCUCACUCUUUAAUGUUACACCUAUUGUAGGAGGUAUGUUGCUCGCUAAGAACCCCGUUUUAAGUUUUCUGGGUUCAAACUUUUGUAUAUUUAUGCUAUUUGCUAAUAUUUUCAAGAGAUUCAUAUACUUGUAUGCCUGUGCUUUAUUUUAAUAUGAGGUGAUUUUGCAGUGUGGUUAAAGGAUUGAAAAGGCAAUUCGAAUUUUCAUCAAGCAAUAAAUAUAUGAACUACUUCAUAAAGACUUCUUAAAUUUCUUUUGUAAGUUUGUGCUACUCUCUUUCUAGGCUUCUACUUUUUGCACUUGGUUUUCUCAUUCUGCUUAUUGUUUAGAAGGAACAUGCAUUAUUUUUAUGGCUUCAAUUUCAAGUAGAAGUUAAUUUCAUUUAGACAUUUUUUUAUUUGAUUACAAUAGAAAGAAGUUAUUUUUUCUAGAUUCUUAUAUUUUUGAUAGUGGAAACAAAAAGCAACAAGCUAAGAUGGGUGAAGCACGUCAGGAAUGGCGAAUCUUUUUGUGAUAAAAAGAUUCAUUUUACAAGUUCGUAAUUGUAUUGCGCAGCAAUCUACUCAGUGCUAUAAGGGCAUUGCUGAGAAAAUACCACCCUUUUAUUAAUUUGACGCAACAGUUUUCCAGUAAAGGAAUGAAUUAGAAACUACCCAUGUCCAUGAACUGUGACCCACGUUCAUUUUCAGCUUCAAUGCACUUCCAUUUAUUUAGUUAAAUUGAAUUUCACUACAAAUAUACAUGAAGCUUAAAGCUUCUACUGCCAAAAGUUCUUUAAGAACUAUGAAAAUCCAUACAAGUUUCUCCCUUCUUUUCCAAUGGUUGUUUUUGAAGUACAGUCAAACCUCUAUAGUAUCUCUAUAUAACAGCCAUUCACUAUAAAAUCCAAGUUUUUCUUGGAAUCGAUUUUUAUGUUUUAUUAUAAUAUAUAUUUUUAUAACAACACUUCACUAUAGCAGCCAAAAAAUAUCUGAACAAACGAACCUGUUAUAGAGAGGUUUGACCCUAUUUUGUAAGAUAGGAAAAUUGAUGUAGAAGCCCCAUUUCAUGUCUUAAAGUGAUUCGAUACAUCAGAUGUCUUACAGUUUUGUCUACCAUGUAAUUUUGCAUUUGGAAUAGAAUUUGAAAAACCUUUUGUUGCUCGCACGUUGCGGAAUGAAAGAAUCCAGAGAUGUUUAAAUGGGAGUCCUAUCGCUUUAUGUUCUUUGAUAUUCAAGUAGUUUAUCGUGUUUGUGCCUUAAGUUACAUUUUGCACAUGUAGCACAUAGUACUGCUUUUGUAGUUCUGUUCUUCUCACUUAUAUAUAGUAAAAAUUCAUUCAUCUUAUGAAAGGAUAAUGUGAAAGGUGGGUGCCUUUGUAAGAUCACUUAGGAUUCAUUUUCUUUCCUCUAUGUUUUAGAAGGCUAUCUCAUUAUUUAAGAUUCCUCUUUCCUCCCUCUAAAUUUGCUACUACUUUACUGCAGGUGAAGAUUAGAUUACUUCGAUUAUUGAACAAGUGUGUCCUUCUUUUAUUAUUUUUAUACAAAGCCCUUCUCUCAAGGACUAACAUGGAACUCUUAGUUUAUUGAAUUUACCAAGAAGAGUUAGUGAGAUUCAAGAGAUGAAAUGAUAGUUUGUAGAACUGAACAGCUUCUUCGAACAAAGUUUCAUCUUUUUUAUUCAUUUUUUGGGACCUUGUUUGGCUUUUGCUAAGAUUUGGUAUCUUUUGAUUUGGGUUGGGAAGUUGCUUUGGGCUGGAUAUAUCCCUUACAUAGAAAACAAACUCAUAAUUUUGAGCAAGUUGAUUCUCUUUAAUU